ACUUAUAUUAAAUUCUUGUAUAUCGCUGUUUAGAAUAUACUUUUAGGUAAUUUUCUUAAUAUAAAAUUAAUUAAUAUUUCAAGUCAAGGUGCAGUUAUAUAUAAGUUUAAUAAUGGAUUACAAUAAAUUUUAUUUAAUUAUGAAUUGUUAUUGGAAUAUAAUUUGAAGGUGGAUUUAAUUGUAA
This 184-nucleotide ribosomal RNA is filed under the name Panurgica sp. MN470. RNAcentral's name for it is "partial 12S ribosomal RNA". Lineage: Eukaryota; Metazoa; Arthropoda; Insecta; Mantodea; Hymenopodidae. The record is from RNAcentral.